Hylaeus anthracinus is the source of this 3254-nucleotide long non-coding RNA. RefSeq lists it as uncharacterized. NCBI's taxonomy places the organism in Eukaryota, Metazoa, Arthropoda, Insecta, Hymenoptera, Colletidae. The transcript is spliced from 3 exons. The record is from RefSeq and is a predicted model, not a curated record.
UAUGAUUUAUCAUGCAUUCGCGUUUGGAAAAUUAGAUUUGCACGUUUCAGAGUCUGCCUCGUGUCUGCUUACGAUUUAUUCGAGGUAUUGAACACGACAUGAAUUUAAUUAAUAUUGAAUGUAGUUUUUUUGUUAAUUCUGUUUAUUCUUCUAUACCGUGGUUAGCUUACUUUUCAUUCGAGCUUCCAACUAUUAAUUAGAAUAACACGUUUCAAGGUAGCUCUACGUCGAUUUAGAGCGAGCACAUGCCUACCAGAAGCGUCGUUCGAAUUGGUUACACGCGCUCCAUCGUUGGGCCGAGCAUUCGCUCGCCACUUUCAUGGAACCUCCACAAUUUACGGUCUAUCUCGCGAGAAAACGUAUAAAGAUACAACGUCGCAUUGUGACCGCAUAACGCGGUCCCCCUGGCACGGGUUCCUCUUUCAGCUCGUGGCGCACGCGCUCGGCAACCUCGUGGCUGCACUCGACGCACUUAGUCUACGUCGUUAGCUGCGCCAUUAGCUUGCAUCCAAGCCUUCCCGUUCGUAGUAGUGGGCUGUACGUGAACGUGGACUAUUGCACACAACCGAACGUGCUUUGCGAGCCACCCGAGCGGUGGCGUGUCACGUGACACGGUCUCGCGGGUAUAUAAAGGCGGCGGACGGCUAGUAGAAUCAGCCAUUCGCGCACUGGCUCCGAAGUAAGCGCCACGACGCGCCUUCGACUCCCACCGGAGACAACGAUACAGGCUCGGUGGUAACUGACCUCGUGGCAGCGGCCAGGAAACCAUUCAGGAAAUGGCUCGAAAAAAAAAAGAAAAGAGGGAAAUCCCUCAGGCGCCACUUGGCCGAGUGAGAAAAGUGAGAACGGAGCUCUCGGGGCACGUGAACAUGGCUAGCGUACUCGAGAUAAGGCUCGCGUGCGAAUCGAUUACGGUCGGUCAUCGGUUUCGAUGACUGGCAAAGAGAAAUGACGUAGCCCAACCCACCGACUGCAUCGUCAUAGAUAAACGGGCGGCACGCACGCGCAGAACGUUGCCCCCGCAGGAACGAAGAGUUUCGAGGGGGCCACGCGUGCCCGAAGACGCGCAUGCCGCUAGGAUCAUUCAAGAAGCGAUUCGGGUUAACCCGCACGCGACGAAUGUUUCGGGGGAAUCUGGACAAGGCGCUCGCAGGCUGCUGGAAUAGCAAGGAAUGGUGGUAUUAUAAAGAGAUGGAGAGAUUGCGAGUGCUUGAACUCGAUGAUUUCAGAAGUUACUCGACCGAUUCGGAUGGGACUUUCAUUCCUGGGUUCCUUGGAAAUCUCAGUGUUGUAGGACUAGUUUUGUCACGGUAUCUCCAUUUGGGGACACAACCGUGAACGGAACUGUUGACGAGCCGUAGAAAGGAUACACCCUGUCUAAUUGGAACUGUAUUUACUUGCAAAUAAUUGAUUUCUCUCUAUCCGACACUUUGUCCGUUAAUUUAUUAGAGACUGCAAGGACAUUGGAACGGUUAAAAACGGAUUCAAAGCAUUUAACUUAACAAGCAUUCGUGUAAUACAACUCACAGGCCCAGAUUGUUCUCCAUUCUCUAAAACUAUAUUAGAUCAGGCCUGGUUGUCACGCUCUCUCCUAAACACGUGAGUCUCUCUUCUAGCUCAACCGCACACGCUGACUAAUCUGUUACAGAUAUGUCGAAAUUACUCGCUCCGCUCAACAAGUAAAUUCCGCCUUUACGCUGGCACGAAUUGUCAAGAAAAAACCUCCUCGAACCAGGUGAAAAACAUGUCUCGCGGCCCAAGGAGACCCAGAGGGGUGGAAUGAGGUUUACGUGUCCCGAGUGACAAAGCAGCGAGGCCGGCCAUCUAUAGUAAUUUAGUAUAAAUGUAUGCUGAUUGCAGAUCACUUAUCCAGGACAACGCUAGUUGGGUUGGGUUGGCAGUUUUUGGUGGGAGGAAUAUGACCGAGACCGAAGAACACAAAAUAAUGUUUCUACUAUUCCUCGGCUGACUAACAGAGCCACUCAUUUGUUUGGGGGUUUCAACUGCUCCAGACGAAGAGGUUUAACGACUCAAAUGACUAGGUAUACAUGUUGAGACACAUGAAACACGCGAGACUUGAAAGUACCAUGUUCGGAGACCAAUGAACACAAAAUAAUUUUUCUAAUAUUUUCUUGACGACUAACAAAGCCACUCAUUUGUUUGGGGGUUUCAACUGCUCCAGAUGAAAAGAUUCAUCCACUAAAGGUGAGCAAAGGCAACCAAGAACCUGGCCAUCCAACAGACCACCUAACCAAUCGCCUACAGGAUGGGCAAUGGGUUUAGACUGGUUUCGGGGUUCUUCGUAAUUAGAACGAGACCCGGCAGCCUGUCGAGGAUUAUAUAGAACGACCUGGUCGGAUACUUCGGAGGCGGAAAGAUCCACCACGAUCGAGAUCUGACUUUAUGCGCAUACAUUUGUCGCGUCUGGUGGCACACGGGCGAGUCCCUCCGGAAUUCGUGACGAAAGACGACACACGAACGCGACGCGUGUGGUAGCCACAGCCGUGCAUCAUCGGUUCCAAGGCUCCCCGGAGCACUGCCACUCGAGGAUUUCAACUUCUUUUUGCCGUCGUUCAAGGCGAACCCGUGUGGAAAAAACCUCCCGCGUGCAACGACGUAGACGCGAGCCACAGGACGGAAAAUGUACUGACCCAUUGACUCAUGGGGGAUUUCCGGCGUUAGCGUGCAAUUGCUACGUGCUUGGUAGCCGCAACGCUCGUACGUCAUCGUUCCCGCGACGUCCUUAGAUGUUGCCUUCCAUUUGGUGAUCCGUGAAUGGAACUCUAAACAAUUCGCAGCAGGCACGACGUUUAGUCAUCGUGAUCAGGUCUGGGUUAAGGCGCCGAGCUCCGAGGGCAAUAGGAAGCUGCAGAAAUAUGGAGAGCUGGGGGAGGAAAAUAGUAUGCAAGGUUACUUCGUUUACGAAUGCUGGAUCGAAGUACUCCGAAUUGUUUGAUGCGUUGACUGUCACAGGUGACAGGACUUAUGGAGCUAAGACAGUGGUCAGGGUGAAAUGUUGAAGACGAUAUGUUUCGAUGGGGUUUAUUGAACCAUAAACGAUCUAACAUAUCGACUGCCAUGUCAUGGACAUAUACAGUCGGUUGUAUAAAUAUUCGUACCCUCUAUGUCUAUCGAAGAAAUUUGUUUAAAUUAAAUGGUAGGUUUGACGAUGUACAUAUAUUUGUAUAAAUAUGUUGAUGUUUAUAUAAAUAUAUUCGCACAGGAACCAAUUCAAAAUAAAACUUGAUAUAUUU